Molecule: ribosomal RNA, 301 nt
Filed under: uncultured bacterium
Lineage: Bacteria
Description: partial 16S ribosomal RNA
Rfam family: Bacterial small subunit ribosomal RNA
Source: RNAcentral
CAGUCGCCGCGGUAAAACGAAGGGUGCAAGCGUUACUCGGAAUUACUGGGCGUAAAGCGUGCGUAGGUGGUGGUUUAAGUCCGUUGUGAAAGCCCUGGGCUCAACCUGGGAAUUGCAGUGGAUACUGGGUCACUAGAGUGUGGUAGAGGAUAGUGGAAUUUCCGGUGUAGCAGUGAAAUGCGUAGAGAUCGGAAGGAACAUCUGUGGCGAAGGCGACUAUCUGGGCCAACACUGACACUGAGGCACGAAAGCGUGGGGAGCAAACAGGAUUAGAUACCCGAGUAGUCCCUGUCUCUUAUAC